Molecule: long non-coding RNA, 1854 nt
Organism: Bubalus bubalis (water buffalo)
Lineage: Eukaryota; Metazoa; Chordata; Mammalia; Artiodactyla; Bovidae
Exons: 2
Source: RefSeq, a predicted model, not a curated record
AGCGAGCGAACGCCGCGCCCACAGCAAGUCCCGCCCCGCGCCGCGAGCACUUCCCGGAACUCUCGGAAGCUCGAGGUGGGGGGCCCGCAGGGGGCCUGCCAGGGGCAGGAGUCCGCGAAGAGGAGACCCCGGGAGCCACUGGGCUGAGCCUGAGAGCCUCGGGGCGGUGCACCUACGCUCGGACCGGCGCGCUUCCCUGGAGCUGUCCGAGGUGCUGGAUAGCAACUGGCUGUGGGACCUCGGAGAACCGGGCGGUGAGGCCGAGACAGCCUGGGAGGGAAAGGGCAAGGAGGCCCAGCGCGUAAGGCCCUGAGCGCGGUAGGAGAGACUCUGGAAAGCAAGCAAGGGACACCACCCAACUCAUGACUCAGAAGACUCUGGUGGAGGGGGUGGGAGGCGGAGGCGAAUUCUGGGUUGUUGGGGUGGCCCAGGGGAGGAAUGGCGCAUGCUGGCUUGGUCUGAGGUGAGAACGUUACUGUCCGCUGCUGAGGCAUGUCCACGAUCCCUGCGACCAGUUGAAGGAACCCAGCACUUAGGAAAGAACUGCAGGGGCGAGGAGACGGCCCCUAGCGUGACCACCACCUUCAAAUCCUGAGGGCUCUUCCUCCACUGAGUACAGCCAGGCUAUGACAGGCCCAGAGGGCAGGACUGGGAGGGCUGGUGCUGGAGGGCAGACCCCGGCCUCAGCUAGGCAGUCCAGAAGUGCCGGACCCCCUUCCAGAUGGUGUCUGAGUACGGCUGGGACCGUCGCCCAUGCAGAAACACCUGCUUUGAGGGGCUGGCAAGCUCUGACCCCAGCCUUGGAGAUGCUCCUUUCUCGGGAGUCUGGGUCCAGCCGAACCCCUCGUCCAGUUCAGACUUAUGAAGAUACCGAGGUAGCCCCAUAUGGAAUGAUGCAUUGCAACCGACAAAGACAAGCACGUGGACAAUAACGGUAUUAAAAAUGUGGGCAGAGGAACUUGUGGUUCUGUCUGCUCAUCCCAGCAUCCUGACACAAGCCAUGGGUAUGACUUUGAAUCAGGCUGAAUGGCAAUCUCCGAGCCUAUCUCCCUCGUUAGAGCCCCUAGCCCAGAGAUGGACAGCAAGUGGCCUAAGACCCCAACAGAACCCUUCUCUGGGAUGUUUCCCUUACCCUCUAGUGGGUAAAAUAGAAGCAAAUAGGUCUGGGGCUCCUUUGAGCUCUGGUCUGCAUCCCAGAGAGAAUGAGGCCUCAUUCUCUCAUCCCAGGAGGAAUGAGGCCAACUCUACGACAUCAAGUACGAUCUUAUCCUUGCUAAUGAUGUUUGAUUUUAUGUGUCAACUGGACUGAGCCACAGGGUGUCCAUAUAUAUGGUCAAACAUUAUUCUGGGCGAGAUGGCCAUCUGAGUCAGUAGACUGAGUAAAGUGCUUGGGCUCCUCACCCUCACGUGCAUGGGUCGCAGCCGGUCAGACUGCAUAGGACAAAAAGGCCAAGGAACAGUGAACUCCUGCCUGACUGCUGAACUGGGGUGUCAGUCUCAUUCUGCCUUUGGACUGAAACACUGCAUUUUCCUGGGUCCUGGGCCUGCCGGCUUGCAGACUGGAGCUAUACCAUCGAUGCUCCUGGGUCUCCAGCAGCCCCCUGCAGGUCUUGGGGUGUCAGCCUCCGUAACCUCACGAGCGGAUUCCUAACCUACCCGUCUCUUCAACUGCCUCUGCUUCUCUGGAGAGCCCUAAUAUCUUUUUUUCCUAAUUAGAAAAAUUUGGAGAGAUUAACUUGUCUAACCUUACAGUUAAGUGUAGAGUUGGGCUUUAAAUUCCAGUCGAUUUUCAUAGCCAUCAUGGUACACUGCUUCUAUUCGUGUAAAAAUAAAACCCCCCUGUAUCCAACUGAA